CGGUUUACCAGUUGUGCCGCCAGGCGCACCGCUGGGUAUCUGAGUCUGGAUUGGAUAAGCGCUGAAAGCAUCUAAGUGCGAAGCCAGCCGCAAGAUGAGAACUCCAUUGAGGGUCGUCAGAGACGAUGACGUUGAUAGGAUGCAGGUGUAAAGACAGCGAUGUCAAAGCCGAGCAUUACUAAUUGCCCGAACACUUUCUUUAA
Molecule: ribosomal RNA, 203 nt
Filed under: Segatella copri
Lineage: Bacteria; Pseudomonadati; Bacteroidota; Bacteroidia; Bacteroidales; Prevotellaceae
Description: partial 23S ribosomal RNA
Rfam family: Bacterial large subunit ribosomal RNA
Source: RNAcentral